This 254-nucleotide ribosomal RNA is filed under the name uncultured bacterium. Its description in RNAcentral is "partial small subunit ribosomal RNA". It matches the Rfam family "Bacterial small subunit ribosomal RNA", at positions 26 to 285 of the family's 1533-position model. The record is from RNAcentral.
AGGACGAACGCUGGCGGCGUGCUUAACACAUGCAAGUCGAGCGGAAAGGCCCUUCGGGGUACUCGAGCGGCGAACGGGUGAGUAACACGUGGGUAACCUGCCCCUUGCUCUGGGAUAACUCCGGGAAACCGGGGCUAAUACCGGAUAUGACACUCGCAGGCAUCUGCUGGGUGUGGAAAGUUUUUCGGCGAGGGAUGGGCCGCGGCCUAUCAGCUUGUUGGUGGGGUGAUGGCCUACCAAGGCAGUGACGGGUA